RNAcentral lists this ribosomal RNA (460 nucleotides) under uncultured bacterium. Its description in RNAcentral is "partial 16S ribosomal RNA". It matches the Rfam family "Bacterial small subunit ribosomal RNA", at positions 338 to 795 of the family's 1533-position model. The record is from RNAcentral.
CCUACGGGAGUCAGCAGUGAGGAAUAUUGGUCAAUGGACGAGAGUCUGAACCAGCCAAGUAGCGUGAAGGAUGACUGCCCUAUGGGUUGUAAACUUCUUUUAUAAAGGAAUAAAACGAGGCACGUGUGCCUUUUUCCAUGUACUUUAUGAUUAAGGAUCGGCUAACUCCGUGCAAGCAGCCGCGGUAAUACGGAGGAUCCGAGCGUUAUCCGGAUUUAUUGGGUUUAAAGGGAGCGUAGAUGGGUUGUUAAGUCAGUUGUGAAAGUUUGCGGCUCAACCGUAAAAUUGCAAUUGAUACUGGCAGUCUUGAGUACAGUUGAGGUAGGCGGAAUUCGUGGUGUAGCGGUGAAAUGCUUAGAUAUCACGAAGAACCCCGAUUGCGAAGGCAGCUUACUAAACUGUGACUGACAUUGAUGCUCGAAAGUGUGGGUAUCAAACAGGAUUAGAUACCCUUGUAGUC